RNAcentral lists this ribosomal RNA (566 nucleotides) under uncultured Sphingomonadaceae bacterium. RNAcentral describes it as "bacterial SSU rRNA". It matches the Rfam family "Bacterial small subunit ribosomal RNA", at positions 348 to 929 of the family's 1533-position model. The record is from RNAcentral. Lineage: Bacteria; Pseudomonadati; Pseudomonadota; Alphaproteobacteria; Sphingomonadales; Sphingomonadaceae.
GCAGCAGUGGGGAAUCUUAGACAAUGGGCGCAAGCCUGAUCUAGCCAUGCCGCGUGAUCGAUGAAGGCCUUAGGGUUGUAAAGAUCUUUCAGUUGGGAAGAUAAUGACGGUACCAACAGAAGAAGCCCCGGCUAACUCCGUGCCAGCAGCCGCGGUAAUACGGAGGGGGCUAGCGUUAUUCGGAAUUACUGGGCGUAAAGCGCACGUAGGCGGAUUAGAAAGUCAGAGGUGAAAUCCCAGGGCUCAACCUUGGAACUGCCUUUGAAACUUCUAGUCUUGAGUUCGAUAGGGGAGUGGGGAAUUCCUAGUGUAGCGGUGAAAUGCGCAGAUAUUAGGAGGAACACCGGUGGCGAAGGCGCCACUCUGGAUCGACACUGACGCUGAGGAACGAAAGCAUGGGUAGCAAACAGGAUUAGAUACCCUGGGUAGUCAUGCGGUAAACGGUGGGCACUAGGUGUGGGUUUCUAUUAACGAAAUCCGCGCCGUCGCUAAGGCAUUAAGUGCCCACCUGGGGGAGUACGGUCGCAAGACUAAAACUCAAAGGAAUUGGACGGGGAAUUCGAAUU